CAUCUAGCAUGUGCGCAAGUCAUUGGGUAUUUAUAAUAAACCUAAAGGCGUAAUGAAAGUGAAUUGUAUAUAUGUAUAAUUUUUAUUAAUUAUAUAUAUUUUUAUAAAGGGAAGAUGGGUUACGUUAUAUAUGUAACCUCGCAUUCCCGGGGCGUUGCAUACUUAUUGCAAGUUGUGGCGCACCAAGAGCGUACACGCUGGGACCCGAAAGAUGGUGAACUAUGCCUGGUCAGGAUGAAGUCAGGGGAAACCCUGAUGGAGGUCCGUAGCGAUUCUGACGUGCAAAUCGAUCGUAUGAACUGGGUAUAGGGGCGAAAGACUAAUCGAACCAUC
RNAcentral lists this ribosomal RNA (333 nucleotides) under Blackburnia cephalotes. Its description in RNAcentral is "eukaryotic LSU rRNA". It matches the Rfam family "Eukaryotic large subunit ribosomal RNA", at positions 674 to 944 of the family's 3401-position model. Lineage: Eukaryota; Metazoa; Arthropoda; Insecta; Coleoptera; Carabidae. The record is from RNAcentral.